UUUUAUACUAGUCUAACCCUUCAACUGGAUAACCUAACUUAACCCUGGUCGUUGCAACAACUGUGGUUAAAUGCCCUAACUUUGCAGCGCACUCCAUCACAUUGCUUAAGUAGAGCAUUUGACAGGAAACCCUCAACAAACCCUGUGAGGACACAAACCCACUGAUAGGAAGUGCCGUAUGACGGAAAAAAACUCUUGUUCUUUGUCUCAGAACAUUUGAAUCCCUGGUUUGUUUCAUUGAAACACCACGGCCUCUUGUUUUUGGUGGCUUUUUACAAGUGUUGAGUGAUUUUACACGGGUCUCUGAGGGUUUCUUUAUAUAUAUUCUGUUGCCCGAUGCCACGUCCUCGGUAGCUACUUAUUUGCAGUGACCAUGGAUGCUAUGAUUGGGCAAAUAUCAAUUUCUUCACAUUUCUGAUAGGAAACCAAGGGUACAUGGGGUGGGGUGUAUUAAACUUAUUGUUUGGAUAAAGGCUCUAUAGCAAAUUGGAGCUAAAUCAACUCUGUAAUAGACAUGAUUUAGUUAGUAGAUGGAUUGUUUGGAUAAAGGCUCUAUAGCAAAUUGGAGCUAAAUCAACUCUGUAAUAGACAUGAUUUAGUUAGUAGAUGGAUGUUAUUAGAUUCAUUUUAAUUUGGAUAUUAAGAUUGAUUGAUUGUUCAUGUAGAGUAACUCGGAUGGUUUGAAUUCUUGUGGGAAGCUGCAUAAGAGAUUUGACUUAUAUUAGAAGUAGCUGCAGAAGAGAUUUGACUUGUAUUAGAAGUUUAUGUUCCAUGUAUUGGCCAUUCUGCUUAUUGUAGGAAGAGCUUCGAAUAUUGGGAGCUUGGUUGGUUUGAUAAUUUGUAGUCUUUUUUCAGUUUUUUAAAUGUAUUUGGAUAUGUUAAAUAUUUGUCCAUUGAAUUUUGAUGUUGUAGCUUUGUUGCAACUCUAGUGUUUUGGUUCAUGUUUUUCUGUGAUGUAUAUGGAACAGUUCUCAUCUUGAAACUGUUUGCUAAUUUUAUGCAUUCACAUAUCUUAUAUCUUAAAUUGUUUAACGAAUAAAAAGAAUAAUCAAUAAUCAUCAUAUUAAUUAUCAAUAAUAAUUUAAUCAAUAAUUAUUUAAAAAAAAGGUUCAAUGGUGUCUAAUUUGAACUGAUCUGGAUAAUCAUUAUGUUCUAUAUUCAUUCACAUGAUAACUUGUUUUUAUCAAUAAUUAUUUUAAAAAUAAGGUUCAGUGGUGUCUAAUUUGAACUGAUCUGGAUAAUCAUUAUGUUCUAUAUUCAUUCACAUGAUAACUUGUUUUUAUCAAUAAUCAUCAUAUUGAUUAUCAAAAAUAGUUUAAUCAUAAUUAUUUUAAAAAUGAGGUUCAAUGGUGUCUAAUUAGAAGUAAUCUGGAUAAUUAUUAUUUUCUAUUUAAAAAAAAGAAAAUGUCAUUAGUUCACAAAUGCCAUUUGUUCUUUAACAUUCUAUUAUAAUGGAAAAAGAUGGUCAGUUCCAACUGUCAAAAAUAACAAAAGUCAAAUCCACGUAAAUAGAUGAUAACUGCAAAUAUUAAGAAAAAACUUUCAACUUAUUACGCCGAAGGCGGCCCCUCUUAUUUGAGGAAAACAACCUCCGGUUCCAAAUCAACGGUGGAAAGUUAUUUAGAGGUGCUGCAAGACGAUUGCCACCUUUCAUUUUUCAUAAUUUUAAUUCGUCCAAAUGUUUUCGCUGGAUCACAUGCAUGAUCACAUGCAUUGAAUGUGCCAUUAUUAACUAUGUCAUCUCCAGGCAAGUGGCUCAUCUGACUCGUCUGUAUUGCUGAAUCAUCACUCACACAUUCAUUCAAUACAAAUCUCUACUUGUAGCACUAACUACCUACUUAACUUUCAAAGAUAAUUUCUUCUCCACCACUUUACUUUCUAAGAUAAUUUUUUCUCCAGCUGAUAUGAUUCGUGUUGAGCAACUAUGUAUAUGAGGAUCAUACAGUUUUCUCAUUUCAAAAUCUCCUAGCACUAGCCGCACUGAGCAACUAUGUAUAUGAGGAUUAUACAGUUUUCUCAUUUCAAAAUCUCCUAGCACUAGCCGCACUUCCUUAGGUGAAAAUACCCACCAAAACAAGAUACUCCAAUGUAUUAAACCAGUCAAGAUACGCCAGUGUAAUUAUCGUAUAAUUAUCGUAUUCAUGAGAGUUUUCUCCAAAAGCGUUCUUUCUUUAUUUCUUUGGCACUAAAAAAGGGCUGAAUAAGUGACCCACAAUUUCUCCUUGGAAAAGAAUAAAUUGUACAGAUCCUUUGCUGCAAAACUGAUUUUGGGAGUACCAAACUGGCAUGAAUGAUUCCUGCUUGUAUAUCUCUUUCUAGGGCGUUCGAUUAUCCUAAAUUAUAACCAUUUGCAUAAGCAUGCAAUGAUGAGGUAUACGCAUCUGCAUUUGGUUUAUAACCCUUUUUCAUUCAUAUCUUUUAGAACAGCCUCUGCCUCCUUCCAGUGCGCUUUUCUAGAGAUUGCAUUUGAAAUGGUAUUGUAAGUCACAAGAAUGGGAGCGAUUCCUGCUUCCAACAUUGCACUAUAUGUUGCCAAAGCAUGGUUGAUUAAUCCACAACUACCAUAAGCGCUAAUCAACAUAUUAAACAUUAUCAUGGCUGGCUUGGAUAUACUCUUAACUUUCAUCAUUUCCUUGUAAACUCUAUCAUAUUAAACAUUAUCAUGGCUGGCUUGGAUAUACUCUUUUAACUUUCAUCAUUUCCUUGUAAACUCUUAUCAAUAAACUUAUGCCCUCCAUUUCUUGCACAUAGUCAACAAGUUAUUCCAUGUGACUCUCUCAGGGGUAAAUCCAGCAGAUCUCGGUUCACCAAAUGGUAUUCCAUGUGACUCUCUCAGGGGUACAUCCAGCAGAUCUCAGUUCGCUAAGAAAUUGCAUCAUCUCUUUGAAUUUUCCUUUCUUCCAAUACUUACCAAUAAUAGCAUUGAAUGAGCAUAUAUUUGGACUGCAAUCAUGCUUAGUGCUACAUGUUUCUUGAUGAUUUCUUCAAAACAAGAAAAGGCAGUGGAAUGGCACAAGGGUCCCCUCAACCCUUACAAUUUUUAA
This is a long non-coding RNA of Cryptomeria japonica (Japanese cedar), 3044 nucleotides long. RefSeq lists it as uncharacterized. The transcript is spliced from 2 exons. The record is from RefSeq and is a predicted model, not a curated record. NCBI's taxonomy places the organism in Eukaryota, Viridiplantae, Streptophyta, Pinopsida, Cupressales, Cupressaceae.